Felis catus (domestic cat) is the source of this 834-nucleotide long non-coding RNA. RefSeq lists it as uncharacterized. The transcript has 2 exons. Lineage: Eukaryota; Metazoa; Chordata; Mammalia; Carnivora; Felidae. The record is from RefSeq and is a predicted model, not a curated record.
GACGCGCCGGCUCCUCCGCGGCGUGCGCCAGGAGCGGGGCCGUGCGCGACGUGCCGCUAGAGUCGCCCGCCCCUGCCGCGCUCAGGCCCGGCCACUUCCGCGUGCCGCCCUAGUCUCCACCCAACUCCUUUGCUCUGGCUUUUCCUGGCCCGGAGGCCCCGCGGAGGUCGCAGGGUGCUGAAGGGUGGCCUCGGGGCUCCGCGGAGCUGCUUUGUCGACUCUCCGGGGACGGGCGAGCAGGGCUUGACCUUGGGAGGCCCGACCCUCCGCCUCUUGCCCCGCCCUUCUCUCGCCUCCUCCCUUCCCCACCCCUCCGGCUGAGGCCUCUGACAUUUACAUUAACCUUUCCUGCGGCUAAAGAUACAGUUACAACUCUGAGUGCAGUCGCCUUCACCCGGAAAGUUUGCGUUGGGACUGAGCUCCCGCCCUUCCACGGCCUGGUUGCUGGGACGCAGGCUUUUGAAAACGCUAGUCUUUGCCAGAUGGUGCUUCUAGAUCUGUUCUUCGAGGAGUUGGAGCUGAAUUUUCAUGAGAACAGAAACUGCAUACCCAAGGGUGCUCUUAUGCAAGCCUUCGUGCCUGGCCAGGAAAUUAAUGCAACCCCUUGGCUCGCCCCUCGCCGCACCCUCCCCACCAGCUAAGGAACGUUAACUGACUUCAGGGGCAGGUCCACUCGGAUAGGUGAAACUCUGAAAGAUUUUUCAGUAAACUUUAUGAAUGAAAAGGUGGAUUUAUAAAACAGGCAACUUGGAGCUGAUUAUUCAUUCACUUUUAUAAAACAUCUUCUAACGAGUUUCUCUUUCUGUAUUUAAAAUAAGAUUUGACUUAUACCUA